AAAAACAAUUAUGGUGAAUACCAUUAUUUAUGUUGUGAACUGGAGUUACACAAAGACCAUUUUAAUUUUUACUUCUGGAUGUCGCAGGAAAGUUUUAAAGAACUGUAAUUUGCGUAAUUUUGUACAAUGUUACAUUCUAGCGCCGGAUUAAUCACGCUGUCGAGCCAUGUUUGAGAGCUGCUAUAAUUUGUAAUUGAAUACAACGGGACGUUAAUACCACUUUCAUAGUGCAGAAAGUAAAUCAACUUUAACAGACCAUGUAACACUACCCAUCUAAUUAAUCUCUUGCACUUACAUAAAACUCAAAAUUAAAGUUGCUUGAAAACUUAUAAUGAAAAUCUAUUAAUGAGAACAUGGUACACAAGUUGAUGCUUUUAUAAGAUCAUUAAAAAACUAUAAAACAAAAUAUAUGAUGCAUAACUUUUUACCACUAAGUACUACUUAUGAUGAACUUACUAAAUUUUGAGACAUUUUGGCUGGCAAAAAAUGUUAUCCAAAUAAAACCAAAUAAAAACUCAUUUAUAUAAAUAUUUUAUAUAAAUAGCUAGAAAUCAAGAGAACUUUUUGACCGUGCCUAGAAAAGACCAAUAGAAGUAUUCAGUAAAAAUUCAGUUUUU
This is a non-coding RNA of Cinara cedri, 617 nucleotides long. The record is from the annotation of a GenBank genome assembly. NCBI's taxonomy places the organism in Eukaryota, Metazoa, Arthropoda, Insecta, Hemiptera, Aphididae.